UACGGAGGGUGCAAACGUUGCUCGGAAUUACUGGGCGUAAAGUGUGCGCAGGCGGCGUUGCAAGUCGAGUGUGAAAUCCCCGAGCUUAACUUGGGAAUUGCGCUCGAAACUACGAUGCUAGAGUGUGGCAGAGGAAGGUGGAAUUCCACGUGUAGCGGUGAAAUGCGUAGAGAUGUGGAGGAACACCGAUGGCGAAGGCAGCCUUCUGGGCCAACACUGACGCUCAUGCACGAAAGCGUGGGGAGCAAACAGG
This 253-nucleotide ribosomal RNA is filed under the name uncultured bacterium. RNAcentral describes it as "partial 16S ribosomal RNA". It matches the Rfam family "Bacterial small subunit ribosomal RNA", at positions 524 to 776 of the family's 1533-position model. The record is from RNAcentral.